Small nuclear RNA from Chinchilla lanigera (long-tailed chinchilla), 109 nucleotides. Lineage: Eukaryota; Metazoa; Chordata; Mammalia; Rodentia; Chinchillidae. The record is from Ensembl.
GUGCUUGCUUUGGCAGCACUAAUAUUAAAACUGGAAUGACAGAGAGAUUAGCAUGGCCCUCGUUUGUGUAAGGAUGGCCUUCAAGUACAUUCUGUAUUUGAAAAAAUUU